UACUUUGGUGGCGACCGGCGCACGGGUGCGUAACGCGUAUGCAACCUACCUUUAACAGGGGCAUAACACUGAGAAAUUGGUACUAAUUCCCCAUAACAUUCGAGAAGGCAUCUUCUUGGGUUAAAAACUCCGGUGGUUAAAGAUGGGCAUGCGUUGUAUUAGCUAGUUGGUGAGGUAACGGCUCACCAAGGCAACGAUACAUAGGGGGACUGAGAGGUUAACCCCCCACAUUGGUACUGAGACACGGACCAAACUCCUACGGGAGGCAGCAG
RNAcentral lists this ribosomal RNA (272 nucleotides) under uncultured bacterium. RNAcentral describes it as "partial 16S ribosomal RNA". It matches the Rfam family "Bacterial small subunit ribosomal RNA", at positions 81 to 354 of the family's 1533-position model. The record is from RNAcentral.